RNAcentral lists this small nuclear RNA (166 nucleotides) under Rhodnius prolixus. Its description in RNAcentral is "U1 spliceosomal RNA". It matches the Rfam family "U1 spliceosomal RNA". Rfam says of the family: U1 is a small nuclear RNA (snRNA) component of the spliceosome (involved in pre-mRNA splicing). Its 5' end forms complementary base pairs with the 5' splice junction, thus defining the 5' donor site of an intron. The record is from Rfam by way of RNAcentral. Lineage: Eukaryota; Metazoa; Arthropoda; Insecta; Hemiptera; Reduviidae.
GUACUUACUUGGCGUAGGGUAAACUGUGAUCAUAAAGGCGGUUCCCCAGGAUGAUGCUAUUGCAUUGCACUAGGUGAUAGUUGAAUUCCUGUGAAUAUCCCUAAUGUGGAUAUGUCGUACGCAUAAUUUUUGAUAGUAGUGGUUACUGCGUUCGCGCAGUUACCAU